UUUGACGAACUCGUUGCGGGUGAGUUUCUCAACUGUUGGUACGUUUAAAUUUUUGUUAAAAGACAAUCCGUAUCAAUCCUCAAACGUUUUACGUCGUACGAAACAGAUUUUGACAUUUUCUUUCCCUUCUCAGCUUCCCCUCUUCGAUAUGAGAGCCAAGUGGCGGAAGAAGCGCAUGCGCAGACUGAAGCGCAAAAGGAGAAAGAUGAGGCAGAGGUCCAAGUGAGCUGCCCCCGUCCUCCCUCGUGGCUGAGUCUCCGCUUUCGCUCGUUGAGAACAGCUGCAGAACCGGAGCUGAGACCUGACGGAGGCCAGUGGCGUUCACGCCUGUCCAAGUCUGUGGAGGAUGACAACCUGGAGAGAAGACCACAAGCUGGACUCUUGUUUUGUGACAUUGUGACCUCUACAUUUCUUUAACUUUUGUCAUGUGUUUUCUUUAUACUAAGAUUAAAGGUUUUGGUUUUCAAAAGUU
Long non-coding RNA from Oryzias melastigma (Indian medaka), 472 nucleotides. RefSeq lists it as uncharacterized. The transcript is spliced from 3 exons. The record is from RefSeq and is a predicted model, not a curated record. NCBI's taxonomy places the organism in Eukaryota, Metazoa, Chordata, Actinopteri, Beloniformes, Adrianichthyidae.